This 271-nucleotide ribosomal RNA is filed under the name uncultured archaeon. Its description in RNAcentral is "partial 16S ribosomal RNA". It matches the Rfam family "Archaeal small subunit ribosomal RNA", at positions 477 to 747 of the family's 1478-position model. The record is from RNAcentral.
CAGCGCCACAAGUGGGGAUCCUAUUUAUUUGGCCUAAAGCGUCCGUAGCUGGUUUAGUAAAUCUUUUGUGAAAUCGUUGAGCUCAACUCAACGGCGUGCAGAAGAAACUGCUAAGCUAGGGACCAGGAGGAGUCAGAGGUAUGCUGGGGGGAGCGGUAAAAUGCUAUAAUCCUCAGUAGACCACCUAUGGCGAAGGCAUCUGACUAGAACGGGUCCGACAGUGAGGGACGAAAGCCAGGGGAGCAAACCGGAUUAGAUACCCGAGUAGUCC